This 1368-nucleotide long non-coding RNA is filed under the name Gadus morhua (Atlantic cod). RNAcentral describes it as "lncRNA (ENSGMOG00000037033.1)". Lineage: Eukaryota; Metazoa; Chordata; Actinopteri; Gadiformes; Gadidae. The record is from RNAcentral.
AUGUCUUCAUCCUGCCUCCGUGUUCAUGUCUUCAUCCUGCCUCUGUUGUUAUGUUAUCUUCCUGCUGCCCCUGCAUAUUUUUACCGGUUUUAUGGAGUGUUUUCAUGGAAGGCCAGGAGGAGCCUGGCUUGUUUGGCCCCGAUGCCGCGCGCAGGGAGCCCUCCACCCCCAUUCGGAGGUCACCCCAGGUUGCCAGGGUCACGCAGAGGUCACCGUCUCCUCCCUCUGGUGUUUGGCUGGAGGCAGCAGCAGCUCUCUCUCGGAGUGCGGUCGGUUGUUCCAGAGCAGGCCCAGAUGUUCCCAGAUGUUCCCUCCCUGGAAGCGGCCCUGGGUCACUCCAGAGAGAAGGAGGGGACUUCCUCUGCGCUACGAGUUCCUCUGGGCCUCCAGCGCAGGGAGAAGAAGGGUUCAGCCUCACAUGGAGAUCUCCCCGGGCGCCCUGUCACUGUUGGUUUAGUGACCAGGCAGAUGAUCAGACCAGUACAGUGGAGGUCAGACCAGUACAGUGGAGGUCAGACCAGUACAGUGGAGGUCAGACCAGUACAGUGGAGUUCAGACCAGUACAGUGGAGUUCAGACCCAGUACAGUGGAGGUCAGACCAGUACAGUGGAGUUCAGACCAGUACAGUGGAGUUCAGACCCAGUACAGUGGAGGUCAGACCCAGUACAGUGGAGGUCAGACCAGUACAGUGGAGGUCAGACCCAGUACAGUGGCGGGACGACCAGUACAGUGGAGGUCAGACCAGUACAGUGGAGGUCAGACCCAGUACAGUGGCGGGACGACCAGUACAGUGGAGGUCAGACCCAGUACAGUGGCGGGACGACCAGUACAGUGGAGUUCAGACCAGUACAGUGGAGUUCAGACCCAGUACAGUGGAGGUCAGACCCAGUACAGUGGCGGGACGACCAGUACAGUGGAGGUCAGACCCAGUACAGUGGAGGUCAGACCCAGUACAGUGGCGGGACGACCAGUACAGUGGAGGUCAGACCAGUACAGUGGAGUUCAGACCAGUACAGUGGAGUUCAGACCCAGUACAGUGGAGGUCAGACCAGUACAGUGGAGUUCAGACCAGUACAGUGGAGUUCAGACCAGUACAGUGGAGUUCAGACCCAGUACAGUGGAGGUCAGACCCAGUACAGUGGCGGGACGACCAGUACAGUGGAGGUCAGACCCAGGCCUGCAUCCUUCCCUCUAGAGGAGCUCUCUCCUGUACCCCAGACCUGUGGGGGCCCAGGGCCGACCCACUGGUUUGUAGGUAGUAGUAAUGCUGCUGCUGGUGCUGCUGGUGUGUGCGUGUAUGGAGGUGGGCGGGGAUGGGGUCACCAUGAGACAGACCCGUUAAACCAUUUUGUUGUGCAAAAAUGUUAA